GGGGCAGCGGGGAGGAAGCUUGCUUUCUCCGCCGGCGACCGGCGCACGGGUGAGUAACACGUAUGCAACCCGCCCCUGUCAGGGGGACAACCCGCCGAAAGGCGGGCUAAACCCGCGUACAUGCCACCGGGGCAUCCCGGAGGCAGGAAAGGCUUCGGCCGGACAGGGAUGGGCAUGCGGCGCAUUAGGCAGUAGGCGGGGUAACGGCCCACCUAACCGACGAUGCGUAGGGGUUCUGAGAGGAAGGUCCCCCACACUGGUACUGAGACACGGACCAGACUCCUACGGGAGGCAGCAGUGAGGAAUAUUGGUCAAUGGUCGGGAGACUGAACCAGCCAAGCCGCGUGAGGGAGGAAGGUACAGAGUAUCGUAAACCUCUUUUGUCAGGGAACAAAGGCGGGGACGUGUCCCCGGAUGAGUGUACCUGAAGAAAAAGCAUCGGCUAACUCCGUGCCAGCAGCCGCGGUAAUACGGAGGAUGCGAGCGUUAUCCGGAUUUAUUGGGUUUAAAGGGUGCGCAGGCGGUCUGUUAAGUCAGCGGUCAAAGCCCGGGGCUCAACCCCGGCCCGCCGUUGAAACUGGCAGUCUCGAGUUGGAGAGAAGUAUGCGGAAUGCGCGGUGUAGCGGUGAAAUGCAUAGAUAUCGCGCAGAACUCCGAUUGCGAAGGCAGCAUGCCGGCUCCACACUGACGCUGAGGCACGAAAGCGUGGGUAUCGAACAGGAUUAGAUACCCUGGUAGUCCACGCAGUAAACGAUGAAUGCUGGCUGUCCGGGGGGAUUGACCCCUGGGUGGCGAAGCGAGAGCGAUAAGCAUUCCACCUGGGGAGUACGCUGGCAACGGUGAAACUCAAAGGAAUUGACGGGGGCCCGCACAAGCGGAGGAACAUGUGGUUUAAUUCGAUGAUACGCGAGGAACCUUACCCGGGCUCAAACGGGGAGUGACUCAGGCAGAGACGCCUGUUUCCCACGGGACACUCCCCGAGGUGCUGCAUGGUUGUCGUCAGCUCGUGCCGUGAGGUGUCGGCUUAAGUGCCAUAACGAGCGCAACCCCCGCGUGCAGUUGCUAACAGAUAACGCUGGGGACUCUGCACGGACUGCCGGCGCAAGCCGCGAGGAAGGCGGGGAUGACGUCAAAUCAGCACGGCCCUUACGUCCGGGGCGACACACGCGUUACAAUGGGUGGUACAGCGGGAAGCCAGGCGGCGACGCCGAGCGGAACCCGAAAUCCACUCUCAGUUCGGAUCGGAGUCUGCAACCCGACUCCGUGAAGCUGGAUUCGCUAGUAAUCGCG
RNAcentral lists this ribosomal RNA (1290 nucleotides) under uncultured bacterium. Its description in RNAcentral is "partial 16S ribosomal RNA". It matches the Rfam family "Bacterial small subunit ribosomal RNA", at positions 66 to 1346 of the family's 1533-position model. The record is from RNAcentral.